GCUCUGCGGUGGGUAGAGGAGAAUAAACCAGGAAAUACUUUAAUCUCUCUGAUUCAGUUUCAGUUCUCAAGAGCCUGAGAUCCUUCAACUCCAGCCGCCAAGAUACUCUGUUCAAAGUAUUACAAGUCCAGACUCGUUCAACAAGCCUUAAAAGAAAAGAAACCAAAAGGGGACUGAAGGCUCAGAUGUUUCCUGGAGGAAGAGGGACCAGGAUGGGAACAUCAUACUGCAGCACUUUAGGAAGAAUCGUUCUGUUAAACCUGCUGGCACUAGGGAACUCCAAGAAGUUAAGGAGCUGCAGACAAGUGAAAUUCCUCAAGAGGUCCCAAGUCUUAGUACACAUAUUGAAUUGUGAAAGCUUAAAUACAGUCAACCUUCCUCUUUCAAUUAAAGAUGUCAAAUACCUAUUCCACUCCCAUCCAUAGUGGUGGUGAAUGAAAGUGGCCAGUAUUAACUUAGUAGAUGUCCUCACCAUGUUUUCCUGAUGUGCACUACUACAAGCGUUGCUGCCUUAUCGUCAGUCAUUUAAAAUGUAAAUUAUCUUACCAAACAGACUUUUCACAAUUCACUCAGUUCUUCUGAUAAAUUUGGCAUUAUGUUUCACACAGCAGAACUGACUUAAUGAAAUGACACGUUAUAAAAAUUGU
This is a long non-coding RNA of Thunnus maccoyii (southern bluefin tuna), 647 nucleotides long. RefSeq lists it as uncharacterized. Lineage: Eukaryota; Metazoa; Chordata; Actinopteri; Scombriformes; Scombridae. The transcript is spliced from 3 exons. The record is from RefSeq and is a predicted model, not a curated record.